This 207-nucleotide ribosomal RNA is filed under the name uncultured Eubacteriales bacterium. RNAcentral describes it as "uncultured Clostridiales bacterium partial 16S ribosomal RNA". It matches the Rfam family "Bacterial small subunit ribosomal RNA", at positions 568 to 774 of the family's 1533-position model. Lineage: Bacteria; Bacillati; Bacillota; Clostridia; Eubacteriales. The record is from RNAcentral.
AGCGCAGGCGGAUGUUUAAGUCUGAUGUGAAAGCCCGGGGCUCAACCCCGGGACUGCAUUGGAAACUGGGCAUCUUGAGUGUCGGAGAGGUAAGUGGAAUUCCUAGUGUAGCGGUGAAAUGCGUAGAUAUUAGGAGGAACACCAGUGGCGAAGGCGGCUUACUGGACGACAACUGACGCUGAGGCUCGAAAGCGUGGGGAGCAAACA